Oncorhynchus keta (chum salmon) is the source of this 434-nucleotide long non-coding RNA. RefSeq lists it as uncharacterized. The record is from RefSeq and is a predicted model, not a curated record. The transcript has 3 exons. Lineage: Eukaryota; Metazoa; Chordata; Actinopteri; Salmoniformes; Salmonidae.
CAUUCAGUUGUACAACUGACUAGGUAUCCCCUCUCCCAUUCAGUUGUACAACUGACUAGGUAUCCCCUCUCCCAUUCAGUUGUACAACUGACUAGGUAUCCCCUCUCCCAUUCAGUUGUACAACUGACUAGGUAUCCCCUCUCCCAUUCAGUUGUACAACUGACUAGGUAUCCCCUCUCCCAUUCAGUUGUACAACUGACUAGGUAUCCCCUCUCCCAUUCAGUUGUACAACUGACUAGGUAUCCCCUCUCCCAUUCAGAAAGAAUUUAGACCCCUUGACUUUUCCCACAUUUUGUUUUUGUUACAGCCUUAUUUUAAUAUGGAUUAAAUAAAAAAAAAUCCUCAUCAAUCUACACACAAUAUCCCAUAAUAACCAAGCAAACACCGGUUUUGGAAAUGUUUUCACAUUUUCUCAAAUAAAAAAAUAAAAAACA